RNAcentral lists this unclassified non-coding RNA (264 nucleotides) under Hevea brasiliensis (rubber tree). The record is from RNAcentral. Lineage: Eukaryota; Viridiplantae; Streptophyta; Magnoliopsida; Malpighiales; Euphorbiaceae.
GUCAGUUUGUUGCCUUCACAAUCUGUCUUCACCUCUUCCACACCUUCUAAAUGCUUAACAGCGCGCUUAAUUUUCUUCGCACAACCCUCGCAAUGCAUGUCCAUCUUAUAAACGGAGACAACCUUGGCGUCAUCUUUCUUGUCGCCGCCGGCGCCGGUGGCUUCUACGGCAGCGGCUUUCUGUUCAGCGCCCAUUAGUCGGUUAUCUGUUUAGCUAAACGUCUAAAGACCUACAGAGAGCUUUUUUAGUUACUGCGAAUGCUUU